CAGAGCCUGCCCUGCGUCUGCUGCAGGAAGGGAAGAGCGAAAAAGCAGCCGGCCGCAGAUCCUGGACAAAGUGUCUCCUGAGUUUCACACGAGCCCUAGCAGUAGCUAUUAGAGGUUGGAUGGAAGAACUUCGACAAGGCAUAAUCAUUGUACUGUUUCUAAGUCACCAAUGCUUGCUUUGGGUUUGGACAUCUUGGAAUGUCUCCUAAUAGAACAAUAAGAAGCAUUUCUUGCCAUGGAGGCCAAGAGGGAAGUGAGCCCCCACACAUAGCCCUGACUGUACACAGCCUGCCCCCAUGACCCUGGCCGCUGCGGGUCAACGUGUGCAGAGCGUCCUGAGUCGGCUGCAGCCCUCACCUGCGGCUCCCGUCACUCGCAGAG
This is a non-coding RNA of Heterocephalus glaber (naked mole-rat), 381 nucleotides long. The record is from RefSeq and is a predicted model, not a curated record. NCBI's taxonomy places the organism in Eukaryota, Metazoa, Chordata, Mammalia, Rodentia, Bathyergidae.